AUGAACGCUGGCGGCGUGCCUAAUACAUGCAAGUCGAGCGAACGGACGAGAAGCUUGCUUCUCUGAUGUUAGCGGCGGACGGGUGAGUAACACGUGGAUAACCUACCUAUAAGACUGGGAUAACUUCGGGAAACCGUAGCUAAUACCGGAUAAUAUUUUGAACCGCAUGGUUCAAAAGUGAAAGACGGUCUUGCUGUCACUUAUAGAUGGAUCCGCGCUGCAUUAGCUAGUUGGUAAGGUAACGGCUUACCAAGGCAACGAUACAUAGCCGACCUGAGAGGGUGAUCGGCCACACUGGAACUGAGACACGGUCCAGACUCCUACGGGAGGCAGCAGUAGGGAAUCUUCCGCAAUGGGCGAAAGCCUGACGGAGCAACGCCGCGUGAGUGAUGAAGGUCUUCGGAUCGUAAAACUCUGUUAUUAGGGAAGAACAUAUGUGUAAGUAACUGUGCACAUCUUGACGGUACCUAAUCAGAAAGCCACGGCUAACUACGUG
This 496-nucleotide ribosomal RNA is filed under the name uncultured bacterium. RNAcentral describes it as "partial 16S ribosomal RNA". It matches the Rfam family "Bacterial small subunit ribosomal RNA", at positions 29 to 507 of the family's 1533-position model. The record is from RNAcentral.